RNAcentral lists this long non-coding RNA (251 nucleotides) under Mytilus galloprovincialis (Mediterranean mussel). The record is from RNAcentral. Lineage: Eukaryota; Metazoa; Mollusca; Bivalvia; Mytilida; Mytilidae.
GCAUCUAUAGUGUCGAUGGUCGAUGUAAAUUAUUUAAAAGCAAUCUGACGUCAGUGAUAAUUUGGCAAUAUCAAGAUGAUAAAUCAAUCUGAUGAAUUCUGUGACAUUUGUCAACGGAUCGACUUAUCAAAACCAGCAGAUGCAUUUUGUCCUCAAUGUGAGGAUUUUCUGUGUGGGGCUUGUCAGAAUCAUCAUAAGGUAGCAAAGUUAUUGAAUUCACAUCAAACAAUUUCUAUUGACGAAUAUAUGAA